UUUUCCUGUUCAGCACUAAGCACAGCAACAAAUCAGAGCAGAUGUGGCUCGAUGAAACCAUCCCGCAGCUCAGGAUGAGAGAGGUGGUUACAAACAGCUUUGAAUAUGUGUGUGCUUGUGUGUCUGUGUACAAUAUAGCUGAACAAACCUCCGCUGCUGUUGGCGCAGCAGAACAGAUGACUUGGAAAAGGCUCUUGAGUUUUUCACCUCAUAUAACACCAUUUUUAUGCUUAUUACUAUUGAUGUGAUUGAACCUCUGCCACAGUCUGAUUUUGGAUGCCUGUGCCCAUGGAGACUGGAGAACAUCAGCAAGUCAUAGAGAGAGCAGAACCAGAAUUACCUAUGGCUGCAGAGAGGAUGUGGGACGUGGUGGCUGAGGAGAACACAGUGUGCUUGUACGCGGGGCAGCUUUACAGUAUUUUUUUCUAAUUUUCUACAUUCAGUAGCACCACUGCCACGCUGCUCAGUGCCUGGGGACAACACAGGGGCUGCCCACCAGGGCCAGAGCUGCUGGAGGAUCCCACAGCAGCGUCCUGUCCUUGGCUGCUCAUCAAACUGCUCCUUGGAUGGAGCACAAGGAAGAUCGCAGGCUUGGAGCCCCCACAUAGGACCUGCUUUCUGGGCUGGAAUUGCAGAAUGGUUUCUGCUGAAGGUGUAUGCAGCAUUUGGGGCCAUAUCCCACCUGCAAGCUGGGCAGUCGUCGCAGUGAGGACCACACGCUUUUGUGCCUGGACACCAAAUAGGAGAUGACUACUUGGGGAAAGUCAAGGGCUGAUUUGUCAUGGUCCUGGAUGAGGUUUGCUCCCUGGACAUUGCAGCAGCUUGUGGAGGCUGUGACAGACGGGAGUAAAGGUGAGCUCUCAUGGGCAGGGUACAAGAGAUCACUCUCUCUCUCUCCUAUCUCAUCAGUUUGUUUAGAAGCACUCAUUAAAAAAUGCCAUCUUCAUGAGACAGGGUUCUUUUGUGAUGCUUUCCUCUUUCUGAAGGAAAUGUCAGAAAUCCUGCUUAAGCAGGAGGUGAAAAGCAAAGGCCCUUUAUUUGCUCUCGUAGCUAGCAGAGGAGAUCAGAAGGCUGCAGCCCCUUCCCUGUCAGUGCCGUGCUGUUGGCAGGACCUGUGCCCCUACCCGAUCUCCUAGCGUGGUGGUGUGAACAUAAUCCCUCCUGAUAAAGUUUUCUGGGCCUGUCUGGAUGUUUGAGUACUGAAAGGGGAGUCCUAUACAAGCCUAUGGAAACCAGCAGGGGCUUUUCCAGGAUUGGCUCAUGCCAGGAUUGCACCCUGUUGUGUUUCACGUCCUGUCUGUGAACUUUUUUGGUUCCUUUUUUUUUGCUUAAAGAGGAUGGAUCGAGGCUUUCAUAGCCAGUUCAUCUCUCAGUUGGCCCCUACACCAGUAGAAAAGGAGAGAAAGGCAUGCUGGAAAGAAAUAACACAGUAACACCUUCUCGGUGAACUGCAAUUAACCUCUGUGUCUUUGUAGCUUAAAACAAUGUUACAUGUGGAAAAAAAAAAAAAAGCAACAAAAAACACAAAAACACACAGCAAAUACUUUUCCAAAGGCAGUCAAACACCAUUGUUCUUUAUCGGCUGAGCUCUUUGUUGCCUGGGGCUAUCUGCAUCAUUCCUCUGCUAAAGCACAAGGAUAAUUUUCUCUCUUUUAGUGUGAAAAG
RNAcentral lists this long non-coding RNA (1665 nucleotides) under Anas platyrhynchos platyrhynchos (common mallard). RNAcentral describes it as "lncRNA (ENSAPLG00000020068.1)". Lineage: Eukaryota; Metazoa; Chordata; Aves; Anseriformes; Anatidae. The record is from RNAcentral.